CAGGGGGAUAAGCGGAAGAAAUUCCGUCUAAUACCGCAUAAUACAAUUUGGAGACAUCUCCGGGUUGUCAAAGGAGUGAUCCGGCAGAGGAUGGACAUGCGGCGCAUUAGCUAGUCGGCGGGGUAACGGCCCACCGAGGCUACGAUGCGUAGGGGUUCUGAGAGGAAGGUCCCCCACACUGGUACUGAGACACGGACCAGACUCCUACGGGAGGCAGCAGUGAGGAAUAUUGGUCAAUGGGCGGAAGCCUGAACCAGCCAAGUCGCGUGAGGGAAGACGGUCCUAUGGAUUGUAAACCUCUUUUGCAGGGGAGCAAGGCGCGGUACGUGUACCGCGAAGGAGAGUACCCUGAGAAAAAGCAUCGGCUAACUCCGUGCCAGCAGCCGCGGUAAUACGGAGGAUGCGAGCGUUAUCCGGAUUUAUUGGGUUUAAAGGGUGCGCAGGCGGACUGUUAAGUCAGCGGUAAAAUGUCGGUGCUCAACACCGGCCGGCCGUUGAAACUGGCAGCCUUGAGUGAGCGAGAAGUAUGCGGAAUGCGUGGUGUAGCGGUGAAAUGCAUAGAUAUCACGCAGAACUCCGAUUGCGAAGGCAGCAUACCGGCGCUCAACUGACGCUCAGGCACGAAAGCGUGGGUAUCGAACAGGCUUAGAUACCCUGGUAGUCCACGCAGUAAACGAUGAAUGCUCACUGUCCGGGCCGUUUAAGGCCUGGGUGGUCAAG
This 720-nucleotide ribosomal RNA is filed under the name uncultured bacterium. RNAcentral's name for it is "bacterial SSU rRNA". It matches the Rfam family "Bacterial small subunit ribosomal RNA", at positions 136 to 851 of the family's 1533-position model. The record is from RNAcentral.